Molecule: ribosomal RNA, 717 nt
Filed under: Bacillus songklensis
Lineage: Bacteria; Bacillati; Bacillota; Bacilli; Caryophanales; Bacillaceae
Description: bacterial SSU rRNA
Rfam family: Bacterial small subunit ribosomal RNA
Source: RNAcentral
UGCAAGUCGAGCGGACAGAUGGGAGCUUGCUCCCUGAAGUCAGCGGCGGACGGGUGAGUAACACGUGGGCAACCUGCCUGUAAGACUGGGAUAACUUCGGGAAACCGGAGCUAAUACCGGAUAACACCGAGGACCUCAUGGUCCUUGGUUGAAAGAUGGCUUCGGCUAUCACUUACAGAUGGGCCCGCGGCGCAUUAGCUAGUUGGUGAGGUAACGGCUCACCAAGGCGACGAUGCGUAGCCGACCUGAGAGGGUGAUCGGCCACACUGGGACUGAGACACGGCCCAGACUCCUACGGGAGGCAGCAGUAGGGAAUCUUCCGCAAUGGACGAAAGUCUGACGGAGCAACGCCGCGUGAGCGAUGAAGGCCUUCGGGUCGUAAAGCUCUGUUGUUAGGGAAGAACAAGUACCGUUCGAAUAGGGCGGUACCUUGACGGUACCUAACCAGAAAGCCACGGCUAACUACGUGCCAGCAGCCGCGGUAAUACGUAGGUGGCAAGCGUUGUCCGGAAUUAUUGGGCGUAAAGCGCGCGCAGGCGGUUCCUUAAGUCUGAUGUGAAAGCCCACGGCUCAACCGUGGAGGGUCAUUGGAAACUGGGGAACUUGAGUGCAGAAGAGGAAAGCGGAAUUCCACGUGUAGCGGUGAAAUGCGUAGAGAUGUGGAGGAACACCAGUGGCGAAAGCGGCUUUCUGGUCUGUAACUGACGCUGAGGCGCG